Molecule: ribosomal RNA, 403 nt
Filed under: uncultured bacterium
Lineage: Bacteria
Description: partial 16S ribosomal RNA
Rfam family: Bacterial small subunit ribosomal RNA
Source: RNAcentral
GACGAACGCUGGCGGCGUGCCUAAUACAUGCAAGUCGAACGCAGUGGGGACGGGUGAGUAACAAGUGGGUAACCUCCCAUCAGAGGGGAUAACACUUGGAAACAGGUGCUAAACCGAUACUGAUGGAUGGACCCGCGGUGCAUUUGCUAGUUGGGGGGGAAACGGCUCACCAAGGCCAGGAUGCAUAGCCGACCUGAGAGGGGGACCGGCCAACCUGGGACGGAGAAACGGCCCAGACUCCUACGGGAGGCAGCGGUAGGGAAUUUUCGGCAAUGGACGAAAGUCUGACCGAGCAACGCGGCGUGAGUGAAGAAGGUUUUCGGAUCGUAAACCUCUGUUGUUAGGGAAGCGGUAUCUAACCAGAAAGCCACGGCUAACUACGUGCCAGCAGCCGCGGUAAUAC